This 253-nucleotide ribosomal RNA is filed under the name uncultured bacterium. RNAcentral describes it as "partial 16S ribosomal RNA". It matches the Rfam family "Bacterial small subunit ribosomal RNA", at positions 524 to 776 of the family's 1533-position model. The record is from RNAcentral.
UACGUAGGGUGCAAGCGUUAAUCGGAAUUACUGGGCGUAAAGCGUGCGCAGGCGGUGAUGUAAGACAGAUGUGAAAUCCCCGGGCUCAACCUGGGAACUGCAUUCGAGACUGAAUAGCUAGGGUACGGUAGAGGGAAGUGGAAUUUCCGGUGUAGCGGUGAAAUGCGUAGAUAUCGGAAGGAACAUCAGUGGCGAAAGCGACUUCCUGGACCAGUACCGACGCUCAGGCACGAAAGCGUGGGGAGCAAACAGG